UUAAUCAUCAUUUUACUCGACCAACAGAAGCUACAGAGACUUACAGAGCGUUUAUCAAGUCUAUAGAAGAUUGCGGGAUUUCCUGGGGUUUUUACAGUAAACAAAGAGUACACAAUAAGGACAAGAAGACAUUGUGGGACCCACCGCUGACGCCCAUGUCCUCCAUGCAACAGACCAAAGGACAAGAAAUCUCUCCUCAUCUCUUCUCCUCAACUCGACGUCAACCCCAUCACUCGACCCCCAUCCCUCUUCACUCGACCUCAUCACCUCGUCAUCUCCUCCACUUCCAUUAAACUCCACCUCCAUCUCUCAUCCAAAAUCAACCAAACUCUCAUCUCUUUUCUCUCAAUCACUCGACCUCACCAUCUCUCUUCCUCACGCACUUGAAUCCUCAACGCCCACUCGAUCUCUUCACCGCCGAACGCUUAUCACCAUCAAGCUCAUCAUCUCUCCAUUCGCGACAUCACUACACCUCCGCCUCUCAACCUUACAGUCACUCGACCUCGCCGUUUCACUCGAUUCACUGCAUCUCUCUCAUCAUCGCUCACUCGCAUUCUCACCAAGUACUCGAUUUCAAAUCAUCAUCAACUUCACCGCUUUGCUCCAUUCACUCGACCACCGUUACUCACUCGACUUCACGGCAAGAGCACCUCCGCCUCUCCACCAGCACAAUCACUCGAAUCACCGCUCCUCCAAUUUCACUCGACCUCUCAUUGGCUCUCGCUCAUCACCGUUUGACCAAGGAAUCAUAACCUCUACACAUACUCGAUUACAAAGCAACUAGCGAUCAUCUCCGAAAGUCACUCGACCUCUUUUAAACCGCUUCACCAUCUCUCGCCUCUCAAGGUCACUCGAUCGCGAAGCGCACUCCAUUCACACAACCAAGGAGUCACUCGACCGCAAGUUCACCAAACCGAAGAAAAAAAAAAAAAAAUUGGUACACUCGACCGGUUUACUCUGUUGGUUUGGGUUUUGGUUUUGUUGGGACUAACGUAUUAACGUUUAUCUUUGAUUUUUGUCUGUUUUCAGGUUUCAUCAUGAGUAACUACAGUGGAGAAUCCUCUAUGGACCCUGAUUAUAAUGUGGAUGAAGCGGAGUCCUGAUCCACUAGACCGAGAGAGCAACAUACUUGUGAGAGCUUCAGGGAUGAAUUUAAACGCUCCACUGCUCGACGUAAUCAAAGAAGAGCUGAAAUCGCUAAAGGAAAGAGGGCGAUGUCGAGUAGAUAUGAGCUGAUUGAUGAGGACAUCGAAACUGAGUAUGAGCCAGAGUCAUGGCGCAAGGAGAAGAAGCUGCUGAACAAACCCAACGAGGUUACAGUGGAGGAGUAUAUCAGAUUCUUUGAGAUGAAUGACUUCUGGGGAACGAGGUAUCCCUGCUAUGAGACUUUAGCCCAAGUGGGGUUACUGGAGGACGUGCAGCAUCUGUUCGAGAAGUGUCAUCUGGAGACACUCUUGUCUUACCCUUACGCUGCCUAUAAGGAGGAGACAAUCGAGUUUCUUUCCACGCUGCAAGUGGAGAUGUAUAAGGGACUCACAGACUUUGAGCUGGAUACCAUGGGGUUAGGCUUCUUGACGUUCUCAGUGGAUGAACAGCAGUAUCAACUUUUGAUCAAGAAGUUGGAAGAACUGUUUGGUUUCCCUAGUGGAAAGGGAACCAAACCCAGGUUUGACAGGGAAGAGCUUAAGGAUUUGUGGGCCACUAUUGGGAACAAUCUACCGCUAAACUCGACGCGGUCCAAGAGCAACCAAAUCCAAAGUCCUGUGAUCCGCUACUUUCAGCGCUCGGUUGCCAACGUUUUUACUCCAGGGAGUCUACAGGCACCGUGUCUAACACGGACAUGGAGAUGAUAGAUUCCGCGCUUACAGGGAUUCUCCGCCGUACAAAGGGAAAGAAUGUCUUGAGAGGCGAUCUCAACAACACACCACCAGUAAUGCCUCUGUUGAUCCAUCUGUGUGGAUACAGGAAGUGGGCGUUGACGAAGGGUAAGAAGAAGGUGAGAGCAGCACUCUCCGUGGGUGGCGUUGUGUCACCAAUUCUGGAAGCUUGUGGAGUACCACUCAAGGAACCAGGGUUAGCACCGAGGAUGAUGGACUUGGAUCAUUUGCGCCGAUGUGAAUUCUUGGAGUAUGACAUGGCAGGCGACUUCCACCGCUACAGGUUCGAGCAUUCAUCGAUUAGAAUCGCCAACAUUCUUCUCCCCUGCAUUGACGCUACUAGAUUCUCGAGGGAAGGAACAUCGACUUCAAGCCUGCGCUUGAAGAUCUUUAUUUCGAGGGCAGUCCGCCAACUGAGGAGGUUAGUCACACUGAAGGAGCUACAACAGAAGAUGUUGAUGAGACAGAUGAUAUAGAUGAGGCGGAUUUUGACACGAGCAUGUAUCAUUUCAGCGAGCAUAUACCUCCAUCGAGGGAAAGCAAGAGUUUGAGCGAAGCUCCGUUCAUUCAGCGAGCAUGUAUCAUUCUCCGUUCAUUUCAGACCACUCGACCCCUUAGUCGAGUAGGGGACUUCACAACUUCAUCUCACCCCUCGACCCCCUGGUCGAGUAUAUUCACCUCCACCACCUGACCGUCACUCGAUCACAUCACUCGACCUCGAGGUCGAGUGUCUUCACCUCCACUACCUGAUCAUCACUCGAUCGCACCACUCCACCUUGAAGUCGAGUAUCACCAUCACAACCACUCGACUACAUACUCGAUGGCGAGCUUCAGAGUCUUCUCCAUUCCGCACUCAACCAGACACUCGAGCACAAGGAAGAAAAGAAGACUCCAGCUUAUCACUCGACCUCUCACUCGACCACCUGGGUCGAGUACAGUUCUUAAUCCGUCCUAAUACUGCGUCGUUUUAAGUAUUAGGGUUUUGGAAUAUUUUGCUAUAAGUACCAUGUACUUUACAUUUUCGAGAACAAGUUUUUAUCUAGUUUUAUUCCGCAAACACUGUGUUCUACACCUUUUGUAAUCCGGAUUUCUCUUUAUCUAUUCAAUAUUGAGCAUUCAGUAUUUGUUCUUGAUUUUGUUUACUGUUGUUCAUUAUGUUAUCGUUUUGCUAUUACAUUGUUGUUAUCAUGUUUUCAUCCUUUUCAACGUUUAUGUUCUCUGCAAUGAUGUCUGAGUAGUGAAUAGGUUUCUGAGGAUGGGUUAGAGUAGUGUAGAAUUCUCAAUAUGCUAGGUGGUUGAGUAUUGAUUGAUAGAUCCCUUCUGGAUUAGUUGUUCUUAAUGCAUAUUGCUUUUUGAUCAACUGGAAUUUGAGCCCAGACAUUUCCGCGCCCAAAAGGUGUUCGAUGACAUGUCUAAACCACUAAUUCCAGAAAUUCGUGGCCCAGUACCAAGGUAUUGGUUGUAGGGAGUGUUUUGGCUUUAACUUGUUGAUUCAUAAUGCUUGUUAGGUUAGCUCUCGUCAAUGGUGAUUGAGUCUGGGACUAGGUUAACUUGAGGGUCUCUGUUGCGGUGGCACUUAGAUUUGGUUAAUGAACUUGUUGUCUAGGGAUAAUUUAUUAAGCAUGUCAAUCACCUGUAACUGAGAAAACGAAACUACUCAAUUACCCCAUCCUCGGGAAUUCUUUAUCUGAUUGAAUUUAUUGUUUACUCUACUGCUGUUUACUGCAUCUUGUCAUCUGUUGCUUAGUUUCUGCAAUUCUUUACUGUUACUCGACCUGAUACUCGACCACCUAGUUGUCUGGCAACAGACUGUGCAGUCGAGUAUCCCUGUUUCAUUUUCUGUCUGUUACUCGACCUGUCACUCGACCACACCCAGUGCUCUGUAACGAGCUGUGUUGGUCGAGUGUUUUAUUGUUUCUACGUGAAUUUCUGUUUUCUACAUGUUCACUUGGAAUUGCUAGAACACAACAAAACCUGUUAUUGCUUGGCUUGACUUAGUGACUUCUGAUCACAUCUUGAUUGUUAGCAUCACACCCAUUUGGAUUGACAACCUUCAGUACUACAACGAUAUGAUAGUGCUUUAGGAUUAAUUGAUCUUAAAAACCUAUUAUCACGCUGAAAUCAGUUAUGUUCAGAACCAAGGCGGCUACAACAAAGGGUACAACAAUUACAGACCCAACCCAAAUAUGUCAUACAGAAGCACAAAUGUCGCAAAUCCUCAAGACCAAGUUUACCCUCAGCAGCAGCAGCAGCAGCAGAACCAACCCAAACCAUUUGUUCCUUACAACCAAAGCCAAGGGUUCGAUCCUAAGCAGCAGUUCCAAAGAGGGUAUCAAAAGCAACUGCCACCACCUGGUUUCACACCACAGCAACAUCAGGCCUCUACACCCCAGGAAUCAGACAUCAAAAAUAUGCUCCAACAGAUCAUGCAAGGCCAAGCCGCGGGGGUAAUGGAAGCCGCUAAGAAGCUGACUGACUUAAACAACAAAAUUGACAGACAGUUCGUUGAACUGAGUAGCAGGAUGGAAAAAUUGAGCACAAGGGUACGAUAUCUGGACGGCAUCACCACUUCACCACCUGUUACAAAUAACCCAGGCAAGCUUUCAGGAAAAGCAAUCCAGAACCCUAAGGAGUAUGCCACUGCCCACGCAAUCACUAUCAGACAUGAGCGAGAGCUGCCAACUCAACAUGUCUCUACAUCAAACUCUGAGGACAGUGUAAUUUAAGAAGGGGAGGCUUCCACUCAGAUUGAAGUCAUUGUUGCUGAGAUCGACUAUUCAGCUCAACCUUUCAAUCAGGCUCAGUCUGACUUUGAGGAGAAGGCUGCUAAAAUCGAGAGGAUGGUAAAACGAUUCAAGCCAGCUCUAUCACCUUCACUUGCUCUUCCAUGGAUGUUUAGGAAAGCUUGGAAAAACAGAUAUGAAUCUCUUGAAGAAAAACAACUUGAUGCGAUGGAAGCUAUGAUGCCCUUAGUAGAAGUCCUCAAGUUGAUUUCAGAACCUCACAAAGAUGUGAGAAACUUGAUAUUGGAAAGGCUCAACAUAUAUCACGAUUCAGAUGACGAAGACGAUGUCAAUAUGCAUCAAGCCGCUGGUGAGAGGAUUAUUCAAGAGAAGCUGGAAGAUCCUGGAUCUUUCACUCUGCCAUGUUCCAUUAGGCAAUUGACUUUCAGCAAUUGUCUAUGUGAUCUAGGAGACUCAGUCACUUUAAUGCCACUCUCUGUGGCAAGGACGUUGGGAUUCAUUCAGUACAAGCCCUGUGACAUCACCUUGAUCCUUGCUGAUAGAACUUCAAAGAGACCUUUCAGCAUUCUACAGAACGUGCCAGUAAUGAUAAAUGGAGUAGAGGUGCCUACUGAUUUUGUCGUGCUUUAGAUGGAUGAAGAAUCUAAGGAUCU
RNAcentral lists this small RNA (5274 nucleotides) under Arabidopsis thaliana (thale cress). RNAcentral describes it as "ATSL169380". The stretch from base 2342 to 2567 matches the Rfam family "MIR854 microRNA precursor family". Lineage: Eukaryota; Viridiplantae; Streptophyta; Magnoliopsida; Brassicales; Brassicaceae. The record is from RNAcentral.